GAAAACCUUUUGUUGAAAAACGAAAAAGACAAGCUGACAAACCUCUCCAGAUCCCUAUACCAUGUUUCCAGCACAGACAACUUUGAUUGUGUCACUGGGCAUGACCUGUUCAUACUAAAUUAUGACAUGCUUGAGCAGCACAUGAAAAAGGGAUCAUUCUAUCUGGGUAGCAAGAUCUUCUUGGAAGAUGGAAUCUGCAGCAUCCCAUUCUCAUGGAAUUGCACAAGCAAUGUAACUUUCCCUGAGGGCAGAAAUGACACAUCUACAAUGUAAAGGGACAACCACUUGUUCCCUCGUACAAUUGCGACACAGUAGUCACGCCACAAAAUGUCUCACCAAGUGUAAAAUGGAAGUGGUAUGAAACUCAUAUAUCUUUAACUGUUAAUAGGGUUGAGAAACUCCUUCAUUCCCAAACUGCAUUUGUUAAGUGUCUCCCAUAGGGGGCAUAACAGUAACAUAACUCC
Etheostoma spectabile (orangethroat darter) is the source of this 464-nucleotide long non-coding RNA. RefSeq lists it as uncharacterized. NCBI's taxonomy places the organism in Eukaryota, Metazoa, Chordata, Actinopteri, Perciformes, Percidae. The record is from RefSeq and is a predicted model, not a curated record. The transcript has 4 exons.